GUGAUCCUCCUGCCUCAGCUUCGCAAGUAGCUUAGACUACAGAAUACCCCACUUUACCACCUGGGGCAACUUUUAAUCAGCAGUUAUCAUGUGAAACUCAAGAGAGGGAGGUUGGAAGGCUGUGGACCUAAAAUAAAGAAAAGCGAAAAGAUCGAAAGAAGAUCAAAAAGAAAACAAAAAUGUUCCUCAGCACCCCGCAACUCAAAGACAAUACAUUAAACCUUAGAAGUAUUCAUGAUACCUGAAAAGAAAUCAUCUGUGGACAGAAGUAUUACCCAAGGAGAAAAACAUGCACGGAUCAAACAAAUUUACACAUCUCAUUUACUCUGAGAUUAUUCAGAAAAAAUCCAAACUUUACAGAAACAUUUGGCACUGGGAAGAUGAACAACAAAAAGACUGGAAGAGAACCUAGUGUUAUUUUCUGCAUAUAGAAUCACCCAUGUCACUACUUAGCCCUUGGAUCCCAGCUCUUUGGGGAAGAAAGUGGUUCUGAGAAACUAAGGGACUGAUCUGGACCAGGGUCAAGACAAGGCAGAAGCACCUGGAGAUAAUUUCCCGAGGGAGGCCGUGGAAGCCACGUUCCUCUUAGGAAUGAAAGGACCUCACAUCCCACAGCCCGGCUUCCAAAGAACCGGCUCAGCGAGGUGGCACCGGCUGAGGAGGAGGCGCGCUGUCCAGGUGCUGAAGUCUGCCACCGAGCGCCUCAGGGUUAAACACAACCAGCCCUUUCAGAAGACUUGCUCCAUGGCUGGUUCCAGCCAACCUCAUGACUGCUCCUCCCUCUUGCAGUUUCAGCACAAUAACUGACCAGCAUUCCUUCCAGUGACCAUGGAGUGGUUCUGACCAUCUACAGAGGCUUCGCUGCUUCAUUUUUUGAUGUCAGAAGGCUGAAAACCGCACUCCGAUCAUGCUAACAUCAUCAUUUUUAUCAACGUAGGACCCAUGAAGCAGCAUGAUGCCCAAUCAAGCAUGCACAUGUUUCUCUUUUCAUAAAUAUUUAUGACUCCU
This is a non-coding RNA of Microcebus murinus (gray mouse lemur), 1008 nucleotides long. NCBI's taxonomy places the organism in Eukaryota, Metazoa, Chordata, Mammalia, Primates, Cheirogaleidae. The record is from RefSeq and is a predicted model, not a curated record.